GCCUGGAUAGCUCAGCUGGUUAGAGCAUGGUGCUGAUAACACCAAGGUUGCAGGUUUGAUCCCCAUAUGGGACA
Molecule: transfer RNA, 74 nt
Filed under: Podarcis lilfordi (Lilford's wall lizard)
Lineage: Eukaryota; Metazoa; Chordata; Lepidosauria; Squamata; Lacertidae
Rfam family: tRNA
About the family: Transfer RNA (tRNA) molecules are approximately 80 nucleotides in length. Their secondary structure includes four short double-helical elements and three loops (D, anti-codon, and T loops).
Source: Rfam by way of RNAcentral